UGGGGAAUAUUGCACAAUGGGCGCAAGCCUGAAUGCAGCGACGCCGCGUGCGGGAUGGAGGCCUUCGGGUUGUAAACCGCUUUUGUUCAAGGGCAAGGCACGGCUUCGGGCCGUGUUGAGUGGAUUGUUCGAAUAAGCACCGGCUAACUACGUGCC
This 156-nucleotide ribosomal RNA is filed under the name uncultured bacterium. RNAcentral describes it as "partial 16S ribosomal RNA". It matches the Rfam family "Bacterial small subunit ribosomal RNA", at positions 355 to 509 of the family's 1533-position model. The record is from RNAcentral.